Molecule: long non-coding RNA, 378 nt
Organism: Cyprinus carpio carpio
Lineage: Eukaryota; Metazoa; Chordata; Actinopteri; Cypriniformes; Cyprinidae
Source: Ensembl
CACAAUCUGACUAAUCACUUGUAAAUUAGAUGGAUUAUUUUGUGGAUUAUCUUCUGUGGAUUAAGUCCUUCUGUCUACUUCUAGAAGAAACAUUUCUGGCAGUUUGUGAGGACGUUUGGACUUUAAAACGAGUUUACAGUGAAACUCUACUGCAGAUUGAAGCACAAAGAAGAUGGAUGGCUGUUACAGGCGAUCAAAGACAGAAUGAAAAAGGAAUGACACAGCUGGAUCAGGAAGGGGGAGUUCUUACUCGGAGCUUGAGCAGAGUCCCGGGUUUCGAGCCUCCUUCGCGGACAACAAGCCAAGUUCGUUUAACAUUUCCUGGCAGGGCUGAAUGGGCAGGUGAACUCGUGAAACAAAAACAAAACCUGAGAGACG